RNAcentral lists this ribosomal RNA (447 nucleotides) under uncultured bacterium. RNAcentral describes it as "partial 16S ribosomal RNA". It matches the Rfam family "Bacterial small subunit ribosomal RNA", at positions 331 to 795 of the family's 1533-position model. The record is from RNAcentral.
CCAGACUCCUACGGGAGGCAGCAGUGGGGAAUAUUGCACAAUGGGUGAAACCCUGAUGCAGCGACGCCGCGUGAGCGAUGAAGUAUUUCGGUAUGUAAAGCUCUAUCAGCAGGGAAGAAAAUGACGGUACCUGACUAAGAAGCCCCGGCUAACUACGUGCCAGCAGCCGCGGUAAUACGUAGGGGGCAAGCGUUAUCCGGAUUUACUGGGUGUAAAGGGAGCGUAGACGGCGGUGCAAGCCAGAUGUGAAAGCCCGGGGCUCAACCCCGGGACUGCAUUUGGAACUGUGCUGCUAGAGUAUCGGAGAGGCAGGCGGAAUUCCUAGUGUAGCGGUGAAAUGCGUAGAUAUUAGGAGGAACACCAGUGGCGAAGGCGGCCUGCUGGACGAUGACUGACGUUGAGGCUCGAAAGCGUGGGGAGCAAACAGGAUUAGAUACCCCCGUAAUA